RNAcentral lists this ribosomal RNA (426 nucleotides) under uncultured cyanobacterium. Its description in RNAcentral is "bacterial SSU rRNA". It matches the Rfam family "Bacterial small subunit ribosomal RNA", at positions 356 to 795 of the family's 1533-position model. Lineage: Bacteria; Bacillati; Cyanobacteriota. The record is from RNAcentral.
GGGGAAUUUUCCUGCAAUGGGCGAAANCCCUGACGGUNCAAUACCGCGUGAGGGAGGAAGGCUCUUGGGUUGUAAACCUCUUUUCUCAGGGAAUAAGAACUGAAGGUACCUGAGGAAUCAGCAUCGGCUAACUCCGUGCCAGCAGCCGCGGUAAUACGGAGGAUGCAAGCGUUAUCCGGAAUGAUUGGGCGUAAAGCGUCCGCAGGUGGUUUAUCAAGUCUGCUGUCAAAGAGUUUGGCUCAACCAAAUAAAGGCAGUGGAAACUGACAGACUGGAGUGCGGUAAGGGCAGAGGGAAUUCCUGGUGUAGCGGUGAAAUGCGUAGAGAUCAGGAAGAACACCGGUGGCGAAAGCGCUCUGCUGGGCCGUAACUGACACUGAGGGACGAAAGCUAGGGGAGCGAAUGGGAUUAGAUACCCCAGUAGUC